UAGUUUUUUCUGGUCUAGUCAACGUCUGUGAUUUAUCCAAAGCUGGUCCCGAGUGCACAGGAAAUAAUAUUCACAAUUGUGUGUGUGUGCGUGUGUGUGUGGACAUUGGAUGUGUGGAAUGGAUCUAGGUGUCAGCCCUGAAAGAGUACGAAAAUGUCUAUGAUGACAGCGACAGUGACCAUCCCCCUCAGAAUAACUCAGAUUUCUACAAUUCACGGACAUUUCCUACACUCAGUUCACAACGGCGACUUUCGGCUAAAGACGACUAAUUUGCACAUAUGAUAGAAUGUUGAAAUCUUCUAUACAUUGAACAACAGUAAAUUGUGUUUGCUUUGUGCUUUAUCUUAGUACAUGUGGAGAUAUACCAUUCGUAUAAGUGUUAUGGGAGUAAUUGGAUAAAAGCAGUGGAUAUGGAGGGAUAUGCAAACAGAUAGAGGGAUAUGCAAACACUCCAUCGUUUCGGGUGACACUAUGUAGCAGGCUAAUGAACUAAAUAUUAUACCAUAUAUACACCACAAUUUAUACUAUAUAAAAAUAUAUUAGUUAUACAAUAUGUGUUACAACAACCUUUAUUUAUACGGUUGAUGGUAUAUUUAUACCAUUACAGUGCUCCAUUGCUACAACACUUUACGCGACCUCGCUAUUAGACGAAUGUGCGUGUGCAUGUAAUUUUUUUAAAGUGUAGCAGGCUUUUCUUUCCAUCCUAUGAAUGUGCAUUGUGUUCUGUAUCCUGAUUCUAUAAGGGAAACCCCACAUUGCGUUCUUUGUCCCAAGUGACUAAGGGACUGUAGACUAUUGUCAACCACCCUACGUACCAAGAUGCAGCAGGGCUCGAUGGCCGCCCCCACAGCAUUUUGGCGCAUCAGCACAACACGUCAUGGCUCGGAAGAAAGCAAGAAUACAGUUAUGUGCUUUUUUUGUUUUUUAAGCUACAAAGGUUUGAAUUUUGAGUGUUUAAAUAAGAAAUGUUUGAAAAUGUUAAUGCCUAUCUGAAAAAAGUUCAAGUGUGUGGUUUAACACCCUUAAAACACAAGAAAUGAAAAAAAUAUACUGUAAACAAAAAAAAUAAGCAAAAUGAAAUGAAAAAAUUAUAAAUAAAAAUAUGCACUUUAAAUUAAAAAAAACAUCUGCUAAAUAAAAAAAAAUAUAUAAUGAACAAAAAAAAAAUAUUCCACUCAUUUAUCUAUGAUUCAGAUGUGCUAACUAAUCCUUACCGUGCCACCACAUAAACUGAUGGUCAAGGCUUUUACCUGAAAUAUGAUACCUAUAAUUGUUAUCACUGUUGUUGUUACAACUGAAAAAAAUAAGUGAGUUGUGGUAAUUUAACAAACUACUGGUAAUUCACAGUCACUGUGAUUUGACAAGCGCGUAUGUGGCCGCGCGCCAUGGCACUCAAAAAUCUGCACAGUUGAGCACGUAAAAAUCACGCGCGUAAAAUUUGUUACGAGUAGAAAUACAUAGAUAUCGAAAGACAUCGCUUAUUUUGUGUAAUCUUGAAAUUAAUUUAUGUGUUUGAACGUUGGCAAUAAAACAAGCUUGAUCCUAAACCAUCAGUAUUCACCCGGUAGCAGGAAAUACAAGUUAACCGUAACGAGCAUGUUCGGACGUUAUACUGUAGUACCAACAUUUCGAUAAUUGUAAUGGAGUAAAAGUAUGUUACUUUUUAGCAGCUUUGACGGACAGUGUUUUGAAAGCCUACAGAGACAUUUGUGCCACUACUAUCCCAAAACCAGCCAUGAAAGAACCGGGGCUUGCUCCCAUCGCCACUGCAUUUGAAAGAACCUGCUGACCCUAUGGGAAGCCCCAGCAAAGUCCAGCAGAUUGCACCGCGGUGAGCCAAUAAAUAUUGGCUUCAGCACUGCUCCAAGAUCCAGACUGCAGCUGAUACUGGCAACAUCAGCGGGAUGUAUGAUGGCAUGAAGCAAACUCGUCACAUUAUACAAGAACAAAGGGAGGAAAAACAAUGUGUUGACCUGCUGUGACUGACCUUGGGCGCGAUGAGAUACAAUGUGUGGAGAGACAGGUAAGGCUGGAAGUGUAUGCUUUCAGAUGCUGUAUAUGCUGUUUUUAUUUUGUUAAAAUGUCAGUUGACACUUCAGGGGAUGUAACUUGUUCGACAAAAGACACAAAAAAGCUCUACUGUAUAAAGGACAAUUGCGAGUCAUAUGUUUAGUAUUACUACACUGCAUGCACAAAGCAGCAUGCUAUGCAGAUUUUAUGCACAUGGUAGUGUUUAUGAUACCUGAAAGAGUCCCUUCUCGCUAGUCAAAGCCCACUUGCCAACAUUCUUUGCAUAUGGUGUCCAAUUACAGGUAAUCAUCAACCAUCUAGAAUUAUCCCAACAUUAACACAUUAAUGAAAGUUCCGCUUCAGGAUCGCAUUAUGCAAGCUUGCAAAAACACAUCAAGCCCGAUGGUACUACACAAUGCUAAAAGUAAAUCUCACUUUCAUAUUCAAAAGUCUCACAUUUCCGAUAGUAAUAGAGUGGACUCAAUGGUCAAUUAAGAAAAGAUGCAAUACGAUACAGCAAUCUGAAAGCAACCACAGUUUGCAGCUUCCCCUGAUACCUUGAGGCAACACAAACCCCAGACAAGCUCCAGUGGGUCUCACGCCAUAUGGCCAAAGAAGAAAAAAAUUCAACACUAAUAGGCUGUUUUCCCCCUAUUCAUCAGUUUCAAUCUCACCCAUUUUCUUCAUGUCCAAGCUCAUGUUGUGGCUGUAAGGACUAAUGAGGAUGGCGGAGGAGAAGGAGCUUUGCAGAAUGGCCCUUUGUUUAAAACCAUCCUCUGCAGUGGUGGAAAUGAGAGACGCUUAUCGAUCAUUUCAACUGUUAGCCUUUUGUGUGGCAAGCUCCUGGGCAAACCCACGCCAAAGGACGGAUUUCAACGUUAUACAAAACUACUAACG
Long non-coding RNA from Syngnathoides biaculeatus (alligator pipefish), 2907 nucleotides. RefSeq lists it as uncharacterized. The transcript has 3 exons. Lineage: Eukaryota; Metazoa; Chordata; Actinopteri; Syngnathiformes; Syngnathidae. The record is from RefSeq and is a predicted model, not a curated record.